GUGCACCAGGCGCGAAUUUUUCUCAAUGGGGGAAACCCUGAAGGAGCGACGCCGCGUGGGGGAUGAAUGGCUUCGGCCCGUAAACCCCUGUCAUUUGCGAUCAAACCUUACGACUUAACACGUCGUAAGCUGAUAGUAGCGAAAGAGGAAGGGACGGCUAACUCUGUGCCAGCAGCCGCGGUAAUACAGAGGUCCCAAGCGUUGUUCGGAUUCACUGGGCGUAAAGGGUGCGUAGGCGGUCGGGUAAGUCUGACGUGAAAUCUUCAAGCUCAACUUGGAAACUGCGUCCGAUACUAUUCGGCUAGAGGAAUGGAGGGGAGACUGGAAUACUUGGUGUAGCAGUGAAAUGCGUAGAUAUCAAGUGGAACACCAGUGGCGAAGGCGAGUCUCUGGACAUUUUCCUGACGCUGAGGCACGAAAGCCAGGGGAGCAAACGGGAUUAGAUACCCGCGUAGU
This 456-nucleotide ribosomal RNA is filed under the name uncultured organism. RNAcentral describes it as "bacterial SSU rRNA". It matches the Rfam family "Bacterial small subunit ribosomal RNA", at positions 346 to 794 of the family's 1533-position model. The record is from RNAcentral.